GCAUGCAUGGGCUUAAAAGUGGCGGCUGGGUUUUUGUUUUUCUUUCUUUUCCAUGUGAGGAUUUAGAGCGCUACAAUAUAAAAAGAAAAGUGAAUAGGGCAGCCGAGAGGAUUGGGAGCCAAGAGAAAAAAGAAAGGAAGCAGCAGCACAACAAUUGAAAAAUUGGAGAUAAAACCGAGAGCAAGAAGAAAAAAAAGAAAAAGAAGAAGAGAAGCCAUCGCUGUAAAUCUGGGAGCAACAAUUUGGAGAAGUCAAUUGUAGAGAUUGGAGAGAGACAGGUUCUUGAGUUUUUCUUUCUCUCUUUUCUAUUAUCUUGCUUGAAUGUUCUCCAAUUAAAUUUAUGGAUUCUCUUUAUAUUCCCAUGAAAUAAUUUAUUUUACUAGGGCUACGAUAUAGCUUAACUAUGAAGAUUUAAUUCCAUAAAUUUAUGUUAUUUUUAAUUUAUUAUUCCAUGGUUGAGUGUUCAUUAUUGUGUUUAGUGCUUUUAAAUAUUUGGUCAAUAUUUGAAUGAUUUGAGGAUACAUAAUGAGACCGAGAGGAGAUUUAUGUAUUUUUGCUCUGUGUAAUGGGUGUCAUGAAUUGAACGAAAGAUAGAGAUGUGCCAACGUGAUUCGUGCAGUUUUUCUAAGAAUUUCCAUGGAGCUUAAUGAAUCUUUAUAUAUUUAAAUUCACAUAGAGAUAUAGUGGGUUAAUGUGUGAAGGUAUUUUUAAUAUUAUUCGAGAGAGGAUAUUAAAUGGAUUAAGGAAAUUCACUGUCAACAUGGGGUAGUAAAUUUUAAUAGCAUAGAUGGAGGAUUAAAUUGGAUUGGUUAUGGUGAAAUAGGAUGUCCUAGUGUCUUAAUUUCUUGGUGAUUUCUAUUACUGCCUGCAUCUUUAUUUAAUUUUUAAUUAUUUUAAUUUUUAAUCUAAAUUCGCUUAUUUUAUUGUUCAAAUAAAUUAGGGUUAGAAUAAUUUCGGUAACUAAUAGAAUAUACAAUCUCUGUGGGAUGAUACUCUACUCUUCAUUAUAUUACUUGUGCCGACUAGUACACUUGCUAAUUUACGCAUCAUUUACAAAGUUAUACCCUCUCUCAAUUUAAUGUAAACAAAUAAUAGCUCAAAUGAAUGUAUGUAUGUAAGCAUAUAAAUGAAUUUUUAUCUAAUUUUUUUUUAUAAAAACGCACUUAUACUUAGAAUUUGAAAUAAUAUUCACAUGAUAGAAUUUUCCUUUAGAAAAUACAAAG
RNAcentral lists this long non-coding RNA (1223 nucleotides) under Citrus sinensis (sweet orange). Its description in RNAcentral is "long non-coding RNA (CSIN_LNC000858)". The record is from RNAcentral. Lineage: Eukaryota; Viridiplantae; Streptophyta; Magnoliopsida; Sapindales; Rutaceae.